UGCAAGUCGAGCGAGCUGAAUUCAAAGAUCCCUUCGGGGUGAUUUGUUGGACGCUAGCGGCGGAUGGGUGAGUAACACGUGGGCAAUCUGCCCUAAAGACUGGGAUACCACUUGGAAACAGGUGCUAAUACCGGAUAACAACAUGAAUCGCAUGAUUCAAGUUUGAAAGGCGGCGCAAGCUGUCACUUUAGGAUGAGCCCGCGGCGCAUUAGCUAGUUGGUGGGGUAAAGGCCUACCAAGGCAAUGAUGCGUAGCCGAGUUGAGAGACUGAUCGGCCACAUUGGGACUGAGACACGGCCCAAACUCCUACGGGAGGCAGCAGUAGGGAAUCUUCCACAAUGGACGCAAGUCUGAUGGAGCAACGCCGCGUGAGUGAAGAAGGUUUUCGGAUCGUAAAGCUCUGUUGUUGGUGAAGAAGGAUA
This 422-nucleotide ribosomal RNA is filed under the name Lactobacillus delbrueckii. Its description in RNAcentral is "bacterial SSU rRNA". It matches the Rfam family "Bacterial small subunit ribosomal RNA", at positions 56 to 454 of the family's 1533-position model. The record is from RNAcentral. Lineage: Bacteria; Bacillati; Bacillota; Bacilli; Lactobacillales; Lactobacillaceae.